RNAcentral lists this transfer RNA (71 nucleotides) under Phrynosoma platyrhinos (Desert horned lizard). Its description in RNAcentral is "tRNA-OTHER". Lineage: Eukaryota; Metazoa; Chordata; Lepidosauria; Squamata; Phrynosomatidae. The record is from RNAcentral.
GGGUAGUGGCAUAGUAGUUUGAGUGUUGGGCUACAACUCUGGAGAUCAGGGUUCGAUUCCCAGCUCGGCCA